Molecule: ribosomal RNA, 532 nt
Filed under: uncultured marine eukaryote
Lineage: Eukaryota
Description: bacterial SSU rRNA
Rfam family: Eukaryotic small subunit ribosomal RNA
Source: RNAcentral
GUUAAAAAGCUCGUAGUUGGAUUUCUGCGGGGACGGGGCGGCCGGUCGCAACUUGCGACUCGAGCUAGCACUUUCCCCGCAUCCUGCCGCGAACCGUGCUACCAUUAGUUUGGUGGCGCUGGGGAUCGGCUCGAUUACUUUGAGAAAAAUAGAGUGUUCAAAGCAGGCCACACGCCUUGAAUAAGUUAGCAUGGAAUAAUGACUAAGGACUUCGGUUCUAUUUUGUUGGUGUUCGGGACUGAAGUAAUGAUUGAUAGGGACAGUUGGGGCGGUCUGUAUUCCAAAGCGAGAGGUGAAAUUCUUAGACCUUCGGAAGACAAACAGCUGCGAAAGCGUUCCGCAAGGAUGUUCCCUUUGAUCAAGAACGAAAGUUGGGGGAUCGAAGACGAUCAGAUACCGUCGUAGUCUCAACUAUAAACUAUACCAGCUAGGGAUCGGCCAACGUUUAAUAUAAUCGACUUGGUCGGCACCUUAUGAGAAAUCAAAGCAUCUGGGUUCCGGGGGGAGUAUGGUCGCAAGGCUGAAACUUAAA